AUUGAACGCUGGCGGCGUGCCUAACACAUGCAAGUCGAGCGGUAACAGGUGUAGCAAUACAUGCUGACGAGCGGCGAACGGGUGAGUAAUGCUUCGGAAUCUACCCAAUGGUGGGGAAUAACCAGCCGAAAGGUUGGCUAAUACCGCAUACGUCCUACGGGAGAAAGCAGGGGAUCGUAAGACCUUGCGCCAAUGGAUGAGCCGAAGUCGGAUUAGCUAGUUGGAGGGUAACGGCCUACCAAGGCGACGAUCCGUAGCUGGUCUGAGAGGACGACCAGCCACACUGGGACUGAGACACGGCCCAGACUCCUACGGGAGGCAGCAGUGGGGAAUAUUGGACAAUGGGGGAAACCCUGAUCCAGCGACGCCGCGUGUGUGAAGAAGGCCUGCGGGGUUGUAAAGCACUUUUAGUGGGGAUGAAAAGUUCAGGGCUAAUACCCCUGGAUCUUGACCUAACCCACAG
This 463-nucleotide ribosomal RNA is filed under the name uncultured bacterium. Its description in RNAcentral is "bacterial SSU rRNA". It matches the Rfam family "Bacterial small subunit ribosomal RNA", at positions 30 to 484 of the family's 1533-position model. The record is from RNAcentral.